UACGUCGCAGUAAAAGUGUAGCUGAAUGAUCCGUGUAGUGAAAAGUGGCGAGAGAAUUGUGGGGACCGGCGGACAGAAAGAUGUCACUUCCUGUCCUGAUGAACAACACAGCAGUCUUCAAAAACUUUUUCCCUCAGGUUUCUCUCCAGCUCUCAGUCUCUCCCGCCCAACAGUUUUUAAGAAGCCGAAAAAAGAAACAUUAACACAAAUCUAAAAAAAACACAGGACAACCAAAAUCAUCCAUUCGCCAUCAGUAGGUGGUGUUUUUCCCAAAACAGAAUUAAUAAAAAAAAAAAAA
Long non-coding RNA from Sebastes umbrosus (honeycomb rockfish), 298 nucleotides. RefSeq lists it as uncharacterized. The record is from RefSeq and is a predicted model, not a curated record. The transcript is spliced from 2 exons. Lineage: Eukaryota; Metazoa; Chordata; Actinopteri; Perciformes; Sebastidae.